AAUGAACGUUGGCGGCGUGGAUUAGGCAUGCAAGUCGCGCGAGAACUUUCAGCAAUGGAAGGGAAAGCGGCGAAAGGGAGAGUAACGCGUGGAUUAUCUACCCUCGGGACCGGGAUAGCUGCGGGAAACUGCAGGUAAUACCGGAUGACAUCUUCGGAUCAAAUGGUGUGAUUCCGCCCGUGGAUGAGUCCGCGUCCUAUCAGCUAGUUGGUAAGGUAAUGGCUUACCAAGGCUUUGACGGGUACUGGGUGUGAGAGCACGACCCAGCUCACUGGGACUGAGACACUGCCCAGACUCCUACGGGAGGCAG
Molecule: ribosomal RNA, 310 nt
Filed under: uncultured Planctomycetota bacterium
Lineage: Bacteria; Pseudomonadati; Planctomycetota
Description: bacterial SSU rRNA
Rfam family: Bacterial small subunit ribosomal RNA
Source: RNAcentral